AUCCCUUUCGAUUUUUUUGUUUAUUUCAUGGUCAGUUUUCCGACGUUCUAAAAGUUUAAAACUGGACUUGGUCCAUUUGAAAUGAGUAUUUUUUUUACAUACAGCAUUCCGUUGAAACUCCAGUGUGCCUGGAUUGAUUUACUCAAAUAUAGUUGCCAGUCAGUUUUCCUUUUUUUUUAUAUAUUAUUUUGUUUGGUUUUCUAGUGUUA
This 209-nucleotide long non-coding RNA is filed under the name Mytilus galloprovincialis (Mediterranean mussel). The record is from RNAcentral. Lineage: Eukaryota; Metazoa; Mollusca; Bivalvia; Mytilida; Mytilidae.